ACGCACGGAAACUUUCCAUCGAGGCGCUUAGCAAACAAAAGAGUGAAAAAAGGCACUCAGUACAAGCUAGGAACUCAGAGGACGAGUUUCGGAUUUUCUCGUUUGUUAAUCACGAAUUCAUUCGCUUUAAAAAAGAAGAAGCAUUUGAACGCUACAGCCGUUUUUCAUUUAUUGUCAUUUAGCAGAUCAUUAAGGAACAUCAGAUCUGCGUCCAGUAGUGCAUCAACCCAGCGAAAUCUGCGAGAAUUGAGAAGUAGCAAACGGAUCGCAAGAGGCGAUCCAUCUGUUUAAGCACGAGCAUCCACGAGGGACACGUCGGAUUUUCACGCCAGCAAGUGGCCGUCCAGCAGGGCGCUACCAUUUUAUAUGACUUUUCUCCGACAACGAGAAACAUCCAGGAUAUCAUCCCGAGGGAAAGGAUCGGUGUACAACACAGGGAGCGGCAGAGGCAGGUUAUCACCGUUCCAGGGCGUAGUUCGCACGUGCAAGCAUCGCCGCGACAUAAGCAUUAUUGGACUCGCAUCAGCGAGCGUC
Molecule: long non-coding RNA, 534 nt
Organism: Ceratosolen solmsi marchali
Lineage: Eukaryota; Metazoa; Arthropoda; Insecta; Hymenoptera; Agaonidae
Exons: 3
Source: RefSeq, a predicted model, not a curated record